This is a long non-coding RNA of Talpa occidentalis (Iberian mole), 696 nucleotides long. RefSeq lists it as uncharacterized. The transcript has 4 exons. The record is from RefSeq and is a predicted model, not a curated record. Lineage: Eukaryota; Metazoa; Chordata; Mammalia; Eulipotyphla; Talpidae.
UUCACCAGACUCCAUGGGGAUGUCACCUAGAUUCUAGGGGAGGAAAUCCAGACCUCCAUCUCUCAGUGGAGGAGUGCGAGGCACAUUAUAUACACGGCAUAUAGAAUGGGAAAAACUCAUAGAUGUGUCCAUCUCUGGAAAAUACAAUCUACUGCACUAUCCAACAUGGAAUCUUGCUGUUGCAUCAAGAUUCCCUGACAUUGCACUUCCAGUGAAGCUUAGUUCUAGAAUGACUCCUGUUCAGAGAUUGUCAGAUGGAGGUAGGAGAAUAUGUGCAGGAGCAGGACGGUGGCUAGAAACAAAUUGCAACGUGCAAUCAUCUGAGCGAGGGGCAAUCAUCUGAGCGAGGGGAUGCAACAGAUAUUAGACAGUAAUUUCUAAAACUGAGUCUUGAGAGAUCUGCAGUUUCUGCCUCCGGGUGUUAGAAAUAUUAUCUGUUGGCACCCAGAUGCCAUGCUUUGAGAAGCUCAAGCCAGGUGGAAAGGCUACAUGAGGAACUAAGGCACUUUGGUCAAUAGAUCCCCCUGAGCUUCCAGUCAACAACUGCCAGCAUGUCAGUGAGCCAGCUUAGCAGUUCCACGCCAGUGAAGUCCCACAUGAUUCAGCCCCAUCCAACACCACAUGGAGCAGAAGAACCAUCCAACUGAGCCCAUCAGCCCACAGAAUUGUGAAAUACAAUAAAAGGUUGCUGUUAUU